AACCCCCUUCCCCAAACUACCUCUGCUGCUCUCCUUGAUCCCCAAUUCUCUCUUCUGCCUACUUGCCUCCAUCUCGGCCUCCACCUCCACUCCUCGCCCCCGAACAUCCGGCGCUGUCCGCACCCCGACUCCUCUCGUCCUUUCGCGGUCGCGAUGGUGGCGUCCAUGGCGUCGCCGUAGGGGCGAUCGAUCUAGGAGAAAGUGCUGGAGAAUGUGGCGUCGUACCACCAGCAACAACGGAGGCAGAAGCUACGCAAGAGCCUCACCUACACCGGCGGCGAGCUCUCGUUCACUGUCUGGGCCCGUGGGGAUGACCCCACCUCCACGUCCGUCGAGGCACAGAAGGAGGACAUGCCUCUUGAGCACGUCUUCAAAAUCAUCAGAUCUGAUGGCAAAAGUGUGUGUUUAUGGUUCCUGAGUCAGAUGAUCUUUCUUCAGUUUUAGAUGUGAUAGAUAUUGGUAUAAAAGAUAAAAACUAGAAUGCUAUGUCUGUCAAAGGAGCUUUCUUCAGUUCAGGCAGCUCCAUCUCAGUCGUUGUACCCAUUCAACGCCGAGCUGGUGGCAGCGAUGCAGGAGAUGAUCCAGCCGAGGUGUACAAGUACAUGUUAGUGGACGUCACCUGCCAAAGAUACACAGUUUCUACUGUUUUUCAGUUGGAGAAAAUAUUUAAGACAACAUUUUCAUCGUUUGUUCUCCAUAUGGGGCUUGUUUCACGCCACUUGAAGGAAGGAGGGAAUGAUGGUGUUAAGUUCGGACAAUACAUCUACACAUCUAUGAAAUGUACAACCACGAUGUAGAGCAUAGAGUUUCUAAAGUUGGAGAUUUGGAUGAUGUUGGAGAUGUGCUUUGGUGUAGUUCAUCUCUCCCGAAUCAAGAGUCUGGUUUAUGGGGCUAAGGUAGAGGCUGCCAUCGCCAUUGGAUUCAAUGACUUCAUUACAUAUGCUCUGAGAGGCAUUGGGUUCUACCAGAAGGAUAACAUGGAGAUCAAGAAGGCCAAUGGCAAUGGCACACUGAUCCCUGAGCAGAUCUUUGAAAAGACUAGGAGAAGUUCUAGAUGAAUUGAUGCUUGGCUGAAGAGGGAUGUCAGAUUUGUACAAUGCUCACCCACAAAGAAUAAUACAUUUCUCCAAUGUCCACUGUUUUGAAAAAUACCUCCAUUCCAAUGUUUAACAUUCUAACGAUGUCUGAAUUUAUUGUAAAGAGACACAUGAUUGUUCAUUGUUGUAACUUAUGUACAAUAUAUGCGUGUGUGAAAUAAAGAUCAUCUUGGAGC
Molecule: RNA transcript, 1273 nt
Organism: Zea mays
Lineage: Eukaryota; Viridiplantae; Streptophyta; Magnoliopsida; Poales; Poaceae
Exons: 7
Source: RefSeq, marked validated